UACGUAGGGGGCAAGCGUUAUCCGGAUUUACUGGGUGUAAAGGGAGCGUAGACGGCCAGACAAGUCUGAAGUGAAAAUCCAGCGCUUAACGUUGGAAGUGCUUUGGAAACUGCCGGGCUGGAGUGCAGGAGGGGCAGGCGGAAUUCCUAGUGUAGCGGUGAAAUGCGUAGAUAUUAGGAGGAACACCAGUGGCGAAGGCGGCCUGCUGGACGAUGACUGACGCUGAGGCUCGAAAGCGUGGGGAGCAAACAGG
RNAcentral lists this ribosomal RNA (253 nucleotides) under uncultured bacterium. Its description in RNAcentral is "partial 16S ribosomal RNA". It matches the Rfam family "Bacterial small subunit ribosomal RNA", at positions 524 to 776 of the family's 1533-position model. The record is from RNAcentral.